RNAcentral lists this ribosomal RNA (598 nucleotides) under uncultured bacterium. RNAcentral describes it as "bacterial SSU rRNA". It matches the Rfam family "Bacterial small subunit ribosomal RNA", at positions 8 to 610 of the family's 1533-position model. The record is from RNAcentral.
AGAGUUUGAUCAUGGCUCAGGACGAACGCUGGCGGCGUGCCUAACACAUGCAAGUCGAGCGAAUGAAGUUCCUUCGGGAACGGAUUUAGCGGCGGACGGGUGAGUAACACGUGGGCAACCUGCCUCAUAGAGGGGAAUAGCCUUCCGAAAGGGAGAUUAAUACCGCAUAAGAUUGUAGUGCCGCAUGGUACAGCAAUUAAAGGAGCAAUCCGCUAUGAGAUGGGCCCGCGGCGCAUUAGCUAGUUGGUGAGGUAACGGCUCACCAAGGCGACGAUGCGUAGCCGACCUGAGAGGGUGAUCGGCCACAUUGGGACUGAGACACGGCCCAGACUCCUACGGGAGGCAGCAGUGGGGAAUAUUGCACAAUGGGGGAAACCCUGAUGCAGCAACGCCGCGUGAGUGAUGACGGCCUUCGGGUUGUAAAGCUCUGUCUUCAGGGGACGAUAAUGACGGUACCUGAGGAGGAAGCCACGGGCUAACUACGUGCCAGCAGCCGCGGUAAUACGUAGGUGGCGAGCGUUGUUCCGGAUUUUACUGGGCGUUAAAGGGAAGCGUAGGCGGAUUUUUUAAGUGAGAUGUGGAAAUUACUUCGGGGCUU